RNAcentral lists this transfer RNA (71 nucleotides) under Marmota monax (woodchuck). RNAcentral's name for it is "tRNA.Ser". It matches the Rfam family "tRNA". Rfam says of the family: Transfer RNA (tRNA) molecules are approximately 80 nucleotides in length. Their secondary structure includes four short double-helical elements and three loops (D, anti-codon, and T loops). Lineage: Eukaryota; Metazoa; Chordata; Mammalia; Rodentia; Sciuridae. The record is from RNAcentral.
GGGGUUGCAGUUCAGUGGUAGAGCACUUGCCUACUAUGUAUGAGGCACUGAGUUUGAUUCUCAGCACCACA